This 274-nucleotide ribosomal RNA is filed under the name uncultured bacterium. Its description in RNAcentral is "partial 16S ribosomal RNA". It matches the Rfam family "Bacterial small subunit ribosomal RNA", at positions 523 to 796 of the family's 1533-position model. The record is from RNAcentral.
AUACGGAGGGUGCAAGCGUUAUCCGGAAUCAUUGGGUUUAAAGGGUCCGUAGGCGGGCGAUUAAGUCAGAGGUGAAAUCCCACAGCUCAACUGUGGAACUGCCUUUGAUACUGGUUGUCUAGAGUUACAGUGAAGUAGAUAGAAUGUGUAGUGUAGCGGUGAAAUGCAUAGAUAUUACACAGAAUACCGAUUGCGAAGGCAGUCUACUAACUGUAUACUGACGCUAAUGGACGAAAGCGUGGGGAGCGAACAGGAUUAGAAACCCUAGUAGUCC